This 440-nucleotide ribosomal RNA is filed under the name uncultured bacterium. RNAcentral describes it as "partial 16S ribosomal RNA". It matches the Rfam family "Bacterial small subunit ribosomal RNA", at positions 338 to 795 of the family's 1533-position model. The record is from RNAcentral.
CCUACGGGAGGCAGCAGUGGGGAAUAUUGCACAAUGGGGGAAACCCUGAUGCAGCGACGCCGCGUGAGUGAAGAAGUAUUUCGGUAUGUAAAGCUCUAUCAGCAGGGAAGAAAAUGACGGUACCUGAUUAAGAAGCCCCGGCUAACUACGUGCCAGCAGCCGCGGUAAUACGUAGGGGGCAAGCGUUAUCCGGAUUUACUGUGUGUAAAGGGAGCGCAGACGGCAGGGCAAGUCGGAUGUGAAAGUCCGGGGCUCAACCCCGGGACUGCAUUGGAAACUGUCCGGCUAGAGUGCAGGAGAGGUAAGUGGAAUUCCUAGUGUAGCGGUGAAAUGCGUAGAUAUUAGGAGGAACACCAGUGGCGAAGGCGGCUUACUGGACUGUAACUGACGUUGAGGCUCGAAAGCGUGGGGAGCAAACAGGAUUAGAUACCCCGGUAGUC